RNAcentral lists this long non-coding RNA (679 nucleotides) under Equus caballus (horse). RNAcentral describes it as "lncRNA (ENSECAG00000055013.1)". Lineage: Eukaryota; Metazoa; Chordata; Mammalia; Perissodactyla; Equidae. The record is from RNAcentral.
AUCACAGAGGCCAACCAUUACCUCAACAAGACCCCCUACAACACAGUGAGAACUCCACUAAUUUCAUGGAAACCUCAAGUGACUCUCACCAGAUCUAGGAUCUCAGGGAAAUGAAGAGAGGAUGGUGGGUGCACCCGCCCCUCCCCAACUGACUGACAAAUCCCAUGGGUCCUCUUGACUGUUAGCACUCCGGAAGCCCCGCUCCAUGGAGGGAAAACCCUUCUUUCUAUCUACGCCUGCACGGCAAAGCCAUCUCUUUGACUGCACUUGUUUAAAUUACUAUGGCCUUGAAACCUCCCUCCAUAAGCCAUUCAGAUCAAAAUUCUCCCUGGAACCUCCUGAGUUGGCUGAGAACAGAGCAGCAAAGUCCACAAGAUUCUCCGAAGUUAGAGAGCUGCCACCCUGUUAAUGGGAAAAAGCCACUUGAAUUUUGAACUGUGUUUUAAGAACCAUACAUAUUCCUCAAGUCAAGGACAGGAUCUCAAUGAACAACUAAGUGAGCAUUGAAGAAAACCUUGUAACUCCUUGAGCAGAGCAGGAGGAACACCGUGACACCAAGCCGAAAGCAUUGAGGAACUCGUUGUGGACGUGCACGAGCAAGCUCACAGAGUAAAGAUUCCCAGUGUUUUCAACAACAAGGGAGGAAUUAAAUGUUUCUAGUUAAUCCAGAAUAACCUAA